AGUUUGAUCAUGGCUCAGAACGAACGCUUGCUGCAUGCUUUAUACAUGCAAGUCGAACGAAGGCCCUAGCUUGCUAGGUGUCCUUAGUGGCGCACGGGUGAGUAACACGUGGGAACAUACCUCAUAGUACGGAAUAACUGCGGGAAACUGUAGCUAAUACCGUAUAUUCCAGAAAUGGGAAAGAUUUAUCGCUAUGAGAUUGGCCCGCGCAAGAUUAGCUUGUUGGUAAGGUAAUGGCUUACCAAGGCUCCGAUCUUUANCUGGUUUGAGAGGAUGAUCANCCACACUGGGACUGAGACACGGCCCANACUCCUACGGGAGGCAGCAGUAGGGAAUAUUGGACAAUGGGGGAAACCCUGAUCCAGCAAUGCAGCGUGAGUGACGAAGGCCUUAGGGUUGUAAAACUCUUUCAUCGGUGAGGAUAAUGACAGUAGCCGAAGAAGAAGGACCGGCUAAUUCCGUGCCAGCAGCCGCGGUAAUACGGAAGGUCCUAGCGUUGUUCGGAAUUACUGGGCGUAAAGCGCAUGUAGGCGGAACAAAAAGUUAGAAGUGAAAUCCCUGGGCUCAACCUAGGAAUGGCUUUUAAAACUUUUGUUCUGGAAUUCAGGAGAGGAAAAUGGAAUUUCCAGUGUAGAGGUGAAAUUCGUAGAUAUUGGAA
Molecule: ribosomal RNA, 658 nt
Filed under: uncultured bacterium
Lineage: Bacteria
Description: bacterial SSU rRNA
Rfam family: Bacterial small subunit ribosomal RNA
Source: RNAcentral